GCCUGGGUGGCUCAGUCGGUUGAGCGUCCGACUUCGGCUCAGGUCACGAUCUCGGUCUGUGAGUUCGAGCCCCGCUUCGGGCU
RNAcentral lists this transfer RNA (83 nucleotides) under Felis catus (domestic cat). It matches the Rfam family "tRNA". Rfam says of the family: Transfer RNA (tRNA) molecules are approximately 80 nucleotides in length. Their secondary structure includes four short double-helical elements and three loops (D, anti-codon, and T loops). Further hydrogen bonds mediate the characteristic L-shaped molecular structure. tRNAs have two regions of fundamental functional importance: the anti-codon, which is responsible for specific mRNA codon recognition, and the 3' end, to which the tRNAs corresponding amino acid is attached (by aminoacyl-tRNA synthetases). tRNAs cope with the degeneracy of the genetic code in two manners: having more than one tRNA (with a specific anti-codon) for a particular amino acid; and 'wobble' base-pairing, i.e. permitting non-standard base-pairing at the 3rd anti-codon position. The record is from Rfam by way of RNAcentral. Lineage: Eukaryota; Metazoa; Chordata; Mammalia; Carnivora; Felidae.